GCUGAAGAACGCAGCGAAAUGCGAUAAGUAAUGUGAAUUGCAGAAUUCAGUGAAUCAUCGAAUCUUUGAACGCACAUUGCGCCCCUUGGUAUUCCGAGGGGCAUGCCUGUUCGAGCGUCAUUAUAACCCCUCAAGCUCAGCUUGGUGUUGGGGCCUGCCGCACGGGCAGCCCUUAAAAUCAGUGGCGGUGCCAUCUGGCUCUAAGCGUAGUAAUUCUUCUCGCUAUAGAGUCCCGGUGGAUGCUUGCCAUUAACCCCCAAUUUUCUAUGGUUGACCUCGGAUCAGGUAGGGAUACCCGCUGAACUUAAGCAUAUCAAUAGCGGAGG
This 326-nucleotide unclassified non-coding RNA is filed under the name soil metagenome. RNAcentral describes it as "partial contains 5.8S ribosomal RNA, internal transcribed spacer 2, and large subunit ribosomal RNA". The stretch from base 3 to 120 matches the Rfam family "5.8S ribosomal RNA", at positions 37 to 154 of the family's 154-position model. The record is from RNAcentral.